UGGGGAAUAUUGGACAAUGGGCGAAAGCCUGAUCCAGCAAUGCCGCGUGAGUGAUGAAGGCCUUAGGGUUGUAAAGCUCUUUUACCCGGGAUGAUAAUGACAGUACCGGGAGAAUAAGCUCCGGCUAACUCCGUGCCAGCAGCCGCGGUAAUACGGAGGGAGCUAGCGUUGUUCGGAAUUACUGGGCGUAAAGCGCGCGUAGGCGGCUUUGUAAGUUAGGGGUGAAAGCCCGGAGCUCAACUCCGGAAUUGCCUUUAAGACUGCAUCGCUUGAAUCCGGGAGGGGUGAGUGGAAUUCCGAGUGUAGAGGUGAAAUUCGUAGAUAUUCGGGAGAACACCAGUGGCGAAGGCGGCUCACUGGACCGGUAUUGACGCUGAGGUGCGAAAGCGUGGGGAGCAAACAGG
RNAcentral lists this ribosomal RNA (404 nucleotides) under Actinomycetes bacterium. Its description in RNAcentral is "Actinobacteria bacterium partial 16S ribosomal RNA". It matches the Rfam family "Bacterial small subunit ribosomal RNA", at positions 355 to 776 of the family's 1533-position model. Lineage: Bacteria; Bacillati; Actinomycetota; Actinomycetes. The record is from RNAcentral.